UACGUAGGGUGCAAGCGUUAAUCGGAAUUACUGGGCGUAAAGCGUGCGCAGGCGGCUAUGCAAGACAGAUGUGAAAUUCCGGGGCUCAACCCCGGAGCUGCAUUUGAAACUGUCGAGCUAGAGUACAGUUAGGGUAAACGGAAUUCCACGUGUAGCGGUGAAAUGCGUAGAUAUGUGGAAGAACACCGGUGGUGAAAACGGUUUACUGGGCUGAAACUGACGCUGAGGCGCGAAAGCAUGGGGAGCAAACAGG
This 253-nucleotide ribosomal RNA is filed under the name uncultured bacterium. Its description in RNAcentral is "partial 16S ribosomal RNA". It matches the Rfam family "Bacterial small subunit ribosomal RNA", at positions 524 to 776 of the family's 1533-position model. The record is from RNAcentral.